GGACCAUCAUGUCAGUCGUGCCUCGGUACAUACUGGCAUUGUUAGUUUCUACCUUCUGACGAACCAUGAUGUCAUUUAUUUGGUGUUGUAGGAAAUCAGGACUUGUUACUUUGAAAAAAUUAGAGUGUUUAAAGCAGGCUCACGCUUGAAUACAUUAGCAUGGAAUAAUGAAAUAGGACGUUUGAUUCUAUUUUGUUGGUUUCUAGGAUCGACGUAAUGAUU
Molecule: ribosomal RNA, 222 nt
Filed under: uncultured Glomeromycotina
Lineage: Eukaryota; Fungi; Glomeromycota
Description: partial 18S ribosomal RNA
Rfam family: Eukaryotic small subunit ribosomal RNA
Source: RNAcentral